Molecule: small nucleolar RNA, 96 nt
Organism: Mercurialis annua (annual mercury)
Lineage: Eukaryota; Viridiplantae; Streptophyta; Magnoliopsida; Malpighiales; Euphorbiaceae
Product: small nucleolar RNA Z103
Exons: 1
Source: RefSeq, a predicted model, not a curated record
AUGGAAAUUAUGAUUUUAUUUCCCCAAAUGAUUGAUGCUCAAUAAACUGUGCAAUCUUUUCCUCUUUUGAGAAUUUAAAUGAAAAAUCUGACCCGU